RNAcentral lists this ribosomal RNA (759 nucleotides) under uncultured Bacilli bacterium. Its description in RNAcentral is "bacterial SSU rRNA". It matches the Rfam family "Bacterial small subunit ribosomal RNA", at positions 28 to 759 of the family's 1533-position model. Lineage: Bacteria; Bacillati; Bacillota; Bacilli. The record is from RNAcentral.
GACGAACGCUGGCGGCGUGCCUAAUACAUGCAAGUCGAACGCUUUUUCUUUCACCGGAGCUUGCUCCACCGAAAGAAAAGGAGUGGCGAACGGGUGAGUAACACGUGGGUAACCUGCCCAUCAGAAGGGGAUAACACUUGGAAACAGGUGCUAAUACCGUAUAACAAUCGAAACCGCAUGGUUUCGGUUUGAAAGGCGCUUUUGCGUCACUGAUGGAUGGACCCGCGGUGCAUUAGCUAGUUGGUGAGGUAACGGCUCACCAAGGCAACGAUGCAUAGCCGACCUGAGAGGGUGAUCGGCCACAUUGGGACUGAGACACGGCCCAAACUCCUACGGGAGGCAGCAGUAGGGAAUCUUCGGCAAUGGACGGAAGUCUGACCGAGCAACGCCGCGUGAGUGAAGAAGGUUUUCGGAUCGUAAAACUCUGUUGUUAGAGAAGAACAAGGAUGAGAGUAGAAUGUUCAUCCCUUGACGGUAUCUAACCAGAAAGCCACGGCUAACUACGUGCCAGCAGCCGCGGUAAUACGUAGGUGGCAAGCGUUGUCCGGAUUUAUUGGGCGUAAAGCGAGCGCAGGCGGUUUCUUAAGUCUGAUGUGAAAGCCCCCGGCUCAACCGGGGAGGGUCAUUGGAAACUGGGAAACUUGAGUGCAGAAGAGGAGAGUGGAAUUCCAUGUGUAGCGGUGAAAUGCGUAGAUAUAUGGAGGAACACCAGUGGCGAAGGCGGCUCUCUGGUCUGUAACUGACGCUGAGGCUCGAAAG